This 253-nucleotide ribosomal RNA is filed under the name uncultured bacterium. RNAcentral describes it as "partial 16S ribosomal RNA". It matches the Rfam family "Bacterial small subunit ribosomal RNA", at positions 524 to 776 of the family's 1533-position model. The record is from RNAcentral.
UACGGAGGGGGCUAGCGUUGUUCGGAAUUACUGGGCGUAAAGGGCUUGUAGGCGGCCAACUAAGUCAUACGUGAAAUCCCUCGGCUUAACCGGGGAACUGCGUCUGAUACUGGAUGGCUUGAGUUCGGGAGAGGGAUGCGGAAUUCCAGGUGUAGCGGUGAAAUGCGUAGAUAUCUGGAGGAACACCGGUGGCGAAGGCGGCAUCCUGGACCGAUACUGACGCUGAGGAGCGAAAGCCAGGGGAGCAAACGGG